RNAcentral lists this ribosomal RNA (470 nucleotides) under uncultured organism. RNAcentral's name for it is "partial 16S ribosomal RNA". It matches the Rfam family "Bacterial small subunit ribosomal RNA", at positions 335 to 797 of the family's 1533-position model. The record is from RNAcentral.
ACUCCUGCGGGAGGCAGCAGUGGGGAAUUUUGGACAAUGGGCGAAAGCCUGAUCCAGCAAUGCCGCGUGAGUGAAGAAGGCCUUCGGGUUGUAAAGCUCUUUUGUCAGGGAAGAAACGGUGAAAGCUAAUAUCUUUUGCUAAUGACGGUACCUGACGAAUAAGCACCGGCUAACUACGUGCCAGCAGCCGCGGUAAUACGUAGGGUGCAAGCGUUAAUCGGAAUUACUGGGCGUAAAGCGUGCGCAGGCGGUUUUGUAAGUCUGAUGUGAAAUCCCCGGGCUCAACCUGGGAAUUGCAUUGGAGACUGCAAGGCUAGAAUCUGGCAGAGGGGGGUAGAAUUCCACGUGUAGCAGUGAAAUGCGUAGAUAUGUGGAGGAACACCGAUGGCGAAGGCAGCCCCCUGGGUCAAGAUUGACGCUCAUGCACGAAAGCGUGGGGAGCAAACAGGAUUAGAUACCCCAGUAGUCCC